Molecule: ribosomal RNA, 518 nt
Filed under: uncultured bacterium
Lineage: Bacteria
Description: bacterial SSU rRNA
Rfam family: Bacterial small subunit ribosomal RNA
Source: RNAcentral
GAGUUAUGGCUCAGGACGAACGACUGGCGGUAUGCGUUAACACAUGCAAGUCGAACGAGGAAACCUCGAAUAGAAGUACCUUCGGGAGGAAAGGAAGAGGGAAGAAAGUGGCGAACGGGUGAGUAACGCGUGGGCAACCUACCUCACGGAAAGGGAUAGCCUCGGGAAACCGGGAGUAAAACCAUAUAAGACCACAGCGUCGCAUGACGCAGGGGUCAAAACUCCGGUGCCGUGAGAUGGGCCCGCGUCCCAUUAGCUAGUUGGCAGGGUAAAGGCCUACCAAGGCGACGAUGGGUAGCCGGUCUGAGAGGGCGAACGGCCACAUUGGAACUGAGACACGGUCCAAACUCCUACGGGAGGCAGCAGUGGGGAAUAUUGCGCAAUGGGGGGAAAAACCCCUGACGCAGCAAUACCGCGUGAGCGAAGAAGGUUUUCGGAUCGUAAAGCUCUGUUAUCGGGGAAGAAGAAGUGACGGUACCCGAUGAGGAAGUCCCGGCUAACUACGUGCCAGCCGCCGC